UUUCUUCCAGCUCAGCCUCCUUCUCAUUCCAUCUCUACGUGCCCAGAGCUUCAAAUACAACCCUCCCAUCACAGUCAGAUGGGCACAAAACUUCAACCCGCCGUUUCUCUGCCUGGAAGCAGUGAAAAUAUAGCCUGGAUGGAAGGGCAGGCCUCUUACGAGGGGCAAUUGCUGUGCUCUGGCAUAUGGGAGACGGUGCUGUUGUCUGGAGAACAAAAGGACAAUUUCAACAACUUCUGCUAAGACUUGGCAAGAAUUUAGGGAGUGACUUCUAAGUGCCGGGUGUUUUCACAGAGAUGCUUACACCUACCUUUCCAACAACCUUGUCAAUGCAGAUUACAUCUCAUGCUGCAGAGUAUCUCAGAAGAUUUUGCUUUGCUAAGGAGCUCACUCUCAAAGGCCAGGAGAAAAGGUCAUAUGGGUCAAGGAAGAGAGGAGGGCAUUUGGAGCAGAGAAACAGCACAUACAAAUGCAAAGGGAUCUGAAGCAGUGUGAGGACCUCAGGAGUCAAUCCAGACUCCAUGCCUGGAUCCCACGGCCCCACAUCCGCCGCAGGGCUUUUGCAUCACAGUUUUGGUGCCUGGGAUGCCGGUCCCCUGGCAGCUGAUUCAGUCUCUCCUUCUCACAGUUGUCUGUUCAGAGACCCCCAACCGACCACCGGAGAGAGAAACCCCCCUGCCCCUCCUCUAUCAUCGUUCAUUCUCUACCUGCUGAAAAUUUCCCCUUAAGCCUUAGCAGCACCCCUGCACCACACACCUUA
Neogale vison (American mink) is the source of this 760-nucleotide long non-coding RNA. RefSeq lists it as uncharacterized. The record is from RefSeq and is a predicted model, not a curated record. NCBI's taxonomy places the organism in Eukaryota, Metazoa, Chordata, Mammalia, Carnivora, Mustelidae. The transcript is spliced from 5 exons.